This is a long non-coding RNA of Strongylocentrotus purpuratus (purple sea urchin), 1418 nucleotides long. RefSeq lists it as uncharacterized. Lineage: Eukaryota; Metazoa; Echinodermata; Echinoidea; Camarodonta; Strongylocentrotidae. The record is from RefSeq and is a predicted model, not a curated record. The transcript is spliced from 4 exons.
CGCGUGUUUUAAACUGACUGACGAGUUGACUGCUUGAUGACGUGACUUCGAGAUUUCAAAUAAUCUGUUAGACUGCGACACCGAGGCAACUAUGUGAAAGCGCAAAAGCAUCGCCAGGAAGGCAGAGGACACGUCAAACCUGGUAUCGGAAGAUGAUGCUGUGUAGAAGCGAAAGAGACGUCUUCCCAGAGAUUUAGCAAAUCUUCUAGUGAUUCCGGAAUUGACGCUGAUCUUGAAUCGGUUAGGACCAAAGAAAACAACAUGUACGCGGAGGAACGAUUAAGGCUGUGGCAGCAGAGGUACCAAUGCCGAAACUGAAUGCGAAGUCCAAGUCCACAUCACAUUUUUCAGUUCCAACCCACAACUCCAGCAAGGGCUCGGGCUUCGGAAAGCAAUUUUCAAGUGCAGGUACUGUGUACGCUGCAGAGGCUGGAGGAAGGGCAGCAGCAGCUGAAGCAGUUGGUACAAAAACUGCUUUUGUCCAAAUCGAGAGCGGCCGUUGAUGUGGAAGACCUGAGGGAGCCGUUUACCAAACCAGUGAACACCAAAUUUUCAUUCAAGGUAGAUUAAGAUACCUUCAUUCAGGGGCAAUGCAAAAAUCCUAAAACUCGUAUUGAAACCAAAUUUGACCAUUUCAGCUAAUAAUGGAGAAACUUUAUCAGCGACAUAACAGUUUUGUUGGUGCAUCUUUUUUAAUUUAAUUGCCAUCAUCUUGUUGAGAAUGCAAGACAAAGUUGUAUAGGUCUGUAAAUUUACUACUUUUUGUAAGGAUGCUGAAACCGAUGGCCCGAAUUCACAAAGGAGGUUUGAGCUCAAACCUUGGUUUUCGUACGUCAUAUGACGCGUUUUACGCGUUUUUUACAAACCUGGUUUGUAAAGAACAAAAGGAGGUUUGGCGAAACAAAAGGAGGUUUGAGCUCAAACCUUGGUCUGAGCUCAAACCUUGCUUUGUGAAUUCGGGCCAAUGUGUGUGCUGCCAAACUCUCUUAUAACCUUGUCUUCUAUAUUCAUAGACCCUUAAAUUUGAGUAUUUAUAUUUGCCUGUUAAUAAUUCAUAUCAACUCAAUUCUAUCAGUUUAUUGUAAAAAGCUUUUUGUAGAUUGUUCAUGUGUUUUGUGUUGAUUUUAUAUUUGAAGUAAGAUGCAAGGCUUCUGGGAAAUCUUAACCUGCCCACUAAAUCUUUGGUCGAUCAAAAGGACAAUUUUUUACUGGGAUUUAAAGGGGAAAUCUACCCUAGAAAUUUCACUGCUUCAAUCAAAGGAGACAAAUUUGAACAAAAUUAAAAAUAAGAAAUGGGCAAAACUCGGUAAGGAAACUACUCUUUUUUUUACAUUUUCUAGUAAAUUACUCCCGGCUAUUCAAAUUGACAAUGCUGAUGACAUCUUGAGUAGCUCUAAAUUCACUUUGUGCACAAAAUU